AAAAGUUUAAUCAUAACAUGCAUUACUGACUGUUGCUAUUUCUAUCAAUGUUUCAACUGUGAAAAUAAAUUUUUAUCCAUAUCUCCUUAAAAAAGCUGAACCAUGUAACAGUUUGUUCAUUGUAUUUAGUUAAUUAUUCUACAUAUAUUAAAUCAACAAAUUUUUCUGACUAUAGUACAAAGUAGAUUUAUUGUUAGUGCUGAGCUUUCUUUGCUUUUUCUUAGGAAUGUAAAUAAACCAUUAACAAAUAGUUCCCAGAUGUCCAGAUGUGGCCCUUCUCACUCUUUAAAGGAUGUUGUGUGCCUUCCUGACAGUUGUAAUAAAAUUGAAGAGGACAUAUUGAGUUUCAAUCCAGACUUUGUAUUUGAACAAGAUCUCCCAGGUGAUUCACUUGAAGGUUAAUUUUUUUCAAACACUGGUUAUAAUCACUCUAACAAUGGAGAUCUAACAGGUGUCUUUCUUUCUUUCUUUCUCUCUCUCUUUUUUAAAAAAUAUUUAUUGUUCAUUUGUAGUUGGACACAAUAGCUUUAUUUUAUUUAUUUUUAUGUGGUGCUGAGGAUCAAACCCAGUUUCUCAUGCGUGCUAGGAGAGUGCUCUAACACUGAGCUACAACCGUAUCCCCUAACAGGGGUUUUUCACUCUGAAGAGAAUACAGGUUUAUGAAAGAGCAAAUUGUUCAUUGGUCAUUAAAUGAACUGGAGCUCUAGAACCAGAAAAUCAGGCUUUAUAAUGUAACUCUGUGAGACCUAGUCAUGAUUGUAACCACCAUGCCUGCCUUAAAGUCCAUAAUUGGUCAUUGUUAAACAAAUCUGAAUUGUCUCAUUUUAUGUAAUGUCAGUAUUUUACCUUAUGAAAUCUACCUCUUAGCUAAGUUUUGACUUUAAAUAUUUUUUUCUUAAAGGUGGUUCAUUUUUAAAAAUAUUUUUUUAGUUGUUGAUAGAUCUUUAUUUUAUUUAUACGCGGUGCUGAGAAUUGAACCCAGUGCCUCCCACAUGCCAGGCAAGUGCACUACCACUGAGCCCCAACCCCAGCCCAAAGAUGGUUCUUUUUAGUAUAUAUGACAGCAGAAUGCAUUUUGAUUCAUUGUACACAAUUGCAGCACAACUUUUCAUUUCUCUGGUUGUAUACUAUGUAGUGUUGCACCAUAUGUGCAGUCAUACAUGUACCUAGGGUAAUGAUGUCCAUCUCGUUCCAUCAUUUUUCCUGUCCCCAUGCCCCUUCCCCAUCACCCUCCCCUUGGCCCAAUGAAAGUUCCUCCAUUUUUCCCAUCUGUCCCCCACCCCUGUCCAUCUCCAUGGAUCAGCAUCCACUUAUCAGAGAGAAUAUUUCGCCUUUGGAUUUUUGGGAUUGGCUUACUUUGCUUAGCAUGAUAUUCUCCAUCUCCAUCCAUUUAUACCUGCAAAUGCCAUAAUUUUAUUCUAUUUUAAUGCCGAGUAAUAUUCCAUUGUGUACAUAUACCACAGUUUCUUUAUCCAUUCAUCUGUUGAAGGGCAUCUGUGGUGCUGGGGAUAUAGGUCAGUUGGUAGAGUGGUUGCCUCACAUGCAUAAGAUCUUCUUUCAUAAGAUCAUGGACAUUUGGGAUGUUUAGUGACUUAUAGUACUGGAGGGAGCAGUGAAUCUGGAUCCUUGGAUUCAGAAUCUAUAAGUCCAGGUACAUAAAUAUUUAAGUCUAGCAGUAAAAUUCAAUGAAAUUAUUAAAAUAAUCACUUGGGGAAUAUUUAUAACUAACUUAUUUUUAUAAUGAAGUGUCUUAAAUAUAGAUGAGAAUAUAUAUAUAUAUAUAUAUAUAUAUAUAUAUAUAUACAGAUUAAAGAAAGAGAAUGAAACAGACCCUCAAUAAAAAUAUUAGGACAUUAGAAGCACCUGGGUACUCCUUCUUGAUUACACUGCCUUAGCUCCCACCAGCAUAAACCAUUAUCCUGACUAUUUUAAAAUCAUUCUGUAGAUAUUUCAAAUGUUUUUAAUACCUAUAUGUAGUAGAGUUUUGACCUCUUCUGGAUAUUGUUCAAAUUCAAUCAUACUAUUUUGUGACUUAAUUCAUGCAUGUUAUGUUAAUGUGAAUAGUUGGCCUUAUUUUUACUACUGUAUUCUAGUCCAUGAACUUGAAUAUCAUGAUUGAUCUUUUGAAUUGUUUUGCAGUAAUUGCUAUAAUAAACAAUUCCAUUAUGCCAAUCCUUGA
RNAcentral lists this long non-coding RNA (2179 nucleotides) under Marmota monax (woodchuck). Lineage: Eukaryota; Metazoa; Chordata; Mammalia; Rodentia; Sciuridae. The record is from RNAcentral.